RNAcentral lists this long non-coding RNA (240 nucleotides) under Hordeum vulgare. RNAcentral describes it as "long non-coding RNA (HVUL_LNC008284)". Lineage: Eukaryota; Viridiplantae; Streptophyta; Magnoliopsida; Poales; Poaceae. The record is from RNAcentral.
UUUUAUUUAUAAUGUGAUGUUUUGGUGGUCCUUUUGAUGUGUGAUUGUAGAUUAUCUGCUAAUCAAUCCAUACUUAUGUGGACAAUUUUUUUACAUUUAUGCUUGCAUGUAUUGAUAUGUUUUUAUAUGUGAGUUGUUGUCGAUCGAUUUGUAAAAAACCAUUGACCGAGUACUAAGUACCACAACCAAAUGGAAGAGCUUCAAAAUUACAGUGUAGCGAAUUAAAAAACUAGAAUGACG